CUGCGCCGCUUACCAUGCAGUCGAGCGGUAACAGGGGGUGCUUGCACCCCGCUGACGAGCGGCGGACGGGUGAGUAAUGCAUAGGAAUCUGCCCAGUAGUGGGGGAUAGCCCGGGGAAACCCGGAUUAAUACCGCAUACGCCCUUUGGGGGAAAGCAGGGGAUCUUCGGACCUUGCGCUAUUGGAUGAGCCUAUGUCGGAUUAGCUAGUUGGUGGGGUAAAGGCCUACCAAGGCGACGAUCCGUAGCUGGUCUGAGAGGAUGAUCAGCCACAUCGGGACUGAGACACGGCCCGAACUCCUACGGGAGGCAGCAGUGGGGAAUAUUGGACAAUGGGGGCAACCCUGAUCCAGCCAUGCCGCGUGUGUGAAGAAGGCUUUCGGGUUGUAAAGCACUUUCAGUGAGGAGGAAAACCUUCUGGUUAAUACCCAUGAGGCUUGACGUUACUCACAGAAGAAGCACCGGCUAACUCCGUGCCAGCAGCCGCGGUAAUACGGAGGGUGCAAGCGUUAAUCGGAAUUACUGGGCGUAAAGCGCGCGUAGGUGGUUUGAUAAGCGAGAUGUGAAAGCCCCGGGCUUAACCUGGGAACGGCAUUUCGAACUGUCAGGCUA
RNAcentral lists this ribosomal RNA (610 nucleotides) under Marinobacter sp. Its description in RNAcentral is "bacterial SSU rRNA". It matches the Rfam family "Bacterial small subunit ribosomal RNA", at positions 40 to 643 of the family's 1533-position model. Lineage: Bacteria; Pseudomonadati; Pseudomonadota; Gammaproteobacteria; Pseudomonadales; Marinobacteraceae. The record is from RNAcentral.